AAUAGACCUCCAUCUAUCCCAUUCUAUUUUCCUAAAUGGGGCCCUUUGCCCUUCUGAUCUGAGAAUAUGUGGCUGAUCCAUUCUGAAUUUUUGCCAAUAGUAGAAUACUGGUGGAGAAGAAUACGCCACGAGGUGGUCGGGGCAUGAUUUCAUCAACAAACAUAAAAAGACUAAAAGAAGUCUUAAAGAAAUGGAACAGAAGGUUUUCGGUUGUAUUUCCACGAAAAGAAACCAGCUCUAACUAAAAUGGCUAUCCUUGAUCAGAUGGAGGAAAUUGACUCCAUCACACUAGUUCAACACACAGAAAAAGCUCAUGAAAGCUGAACUUAUUUCGUUGGCAGCAAAGGAAGAGCAAUCUUGGAGACAAAAAUGUAAAAAACGAUGGUUAGAGGAGGGUGACAAACUAAAAUUUUUUCCCUCGUAUCAUGACUACAAAGAAACGAAAAGUGCCAUCAUGGAAAUUCUAUCCAAACAAGGCAGAAGUUUAUUAAACGAAGAAGUUGUCUCAAAAUUUGUGACCUUUUACACGACCUUAUAUACAAGGGACAAGUCCCUCUGCAAAUUUCACCAUGAUCUUGACUAGAGUCCUAUUAUUCAACAGCAAGCUACCUCCCUCGAGGUUGUUUUCACCAAAGAAGAGGUGGGGAAGGCAAUUAAACAUCUGGGCUCUGACAAAACUCUAGGACCAGAUGAUUUUACCUUAGAAUUUUUUCAAAAAAUGCUGGAACUUUAUGAGAGCUGAUACCAUGAGAGUAUUCCAAGAUUUUUUUUUGAAACGGAGUUAUCAAUGGCAACCUAAACGAAACAUAUAUAUGUCUGAUCUCAAAGAAAUUGGAUACCCACACUGUCACAGACUUUCGUCCCAUAAGUCUCACGAUCAGACUAUAUAAAAUCAUAGCAAGGGUAUUAUCAGAGCUUCUUGAAAAGGUUCUCCUCUUCAUUAUUACCGGGCAAACAACUUUCGUAGAGGGGCAACAAACUCUUGAUGCAUCCCUCAUGGCAAAUAAACUCAAAUGAAUGGGAAAGAAAGAAACAAAAAGAUGUAGUCAUCAAACUUGACAUGGAAAAGGCUUUUGACAAGGUUGAUUGGACUGGACUUUCCUCGAAAACAUUCUUGUGGAAAAAGGCUUUGACUCAAAUGGCAAAGGUGGAUAAAAGGAUGCAUCUCAUCCAAAAACUUCUCCAUUAUCAUAAUGGAAGAUCGAAAGGGAAGAUUUAUGCCACAUGGGGUCUCCAACAAGGAGACCCACUAUCUCCCUUUCUUUUCAUCGUGGUAACGGAUUGUCUCUGCCACCUACGAACAAAAGCAGAAUACGAAGGGCAAAUAAAAGGAAAUCGAUAAUGAAGGCUUAAGCAUCAACCACCUUCAGUUCGCAGACGACACAAUCAUCUUUCCUGACUUGACAGAUGCCUAUUCCAUAAAAAAACAUGAUCGAGACGGUAAAAACCUUCGAAGGAUUCUCUGGACAAAAUAUCAAUCUCCAAAAAACAGAGAUCAUGAGCAUCAAUAUUAGCACAAAGAUUAUUGAAGAAGUUGAUAGCAUAUAUGGUUGUAAAUAGGGAGAAUGGUCGAAUAUGUACCUACCUUUAAAAGGAAACCACAAAUCCUUUUCCUUUUGGAAGAUUAUUAUUGAAAAAAUAGAAAAAAGGCUGUCAACAUGGUCAUCAUGUUAUACUUCAAAAGGCGGAUGACUCACUCUAAUACAAGCCACAUUAUCCAACUUCCUCACUUACUACAUGUCUCUAUUUGAAAUGCCACAAAAAGUGGUUGUGAACCUAGAAAGAUUAUUCAAAAACUACUUAUGGAAAGAUGACCCAUACCUUGUUCAAUGAAAUAUUACAAACCUCCCAACAGAAAUGGGAGGCCUUGAUCUUUUCUCAAUAAAGAUGAAGAACAAAGCCCUCCUCACCAAAUGGAUAUGGAGAUACGUCAAGAAGAAAAAGCCUUGGGUAUUAUAAAGGCCAAAUAUUGUAAUGACCCGUUUUUCCAUGUCUCCAAUUACUGAUCGCCACGUAGACACAAGGGUAAAAAGGGCGAAAAUUCUCUCAAAUUUAAAAGCAGGAGACAAGGAAAAGUUUAAGAUUUAAAUAGCAUUAAAACUGUCAUUAUGUUGAUUAAAAGUACAAAAUAACAUCCUCAGGGUCAGUUCAAACAGUAUACUCAAAAUACACCAAAACAAUUUUUAAAGAUAAUAAAAUGACAAGAAAGAAAGACGACUCGAUCUAAGGGCACCCCAAUAGCUGCACGCUCCCACCUAGAAAAUAAAUAGAAUAACAUGGGAUGAGUAUAAAAUACUCACUGAGCAGCCUACUUGUAGACUCUUGUCGGACUUGGUCUUUAUAAUGAUUCUUUAAGCUAUGUGCUCAUACACGGACUUUAGCUUAGUCCUUACAAUGACUUACCAUCCAUGCUAGAAGGCUUAUCCAUACCUAGACCCUAUGUACUCCUAACACUAGGGUGCAUAACUAAACCCCUCAGGUUAUAAUGUAGGGUUAGGAUGUACUUAGCUUGUUGUUUACAUUUCCCAAAAUCUAUCCUUAACCCGGUGGUACGAGUAUAAAAUACUCACUAAACAGCCUACUUGUAGACUCUUGUCGGACUUGGUCUUUAUAAUGAUUCUUUAAGCUAUGUGCUCAUACACGGACUUUAGCUUAGUCCUUACAAUGACUUACCAUCCAUGCUAGAAGGCUUAUCCAUACCUAGACCCUAUGUACUCCUAACACUAGGGUGCAUAACUAAACCCCUCAGGUUAUAAUGUAGGGUUAGGAUGUACUUAGCUUGUUGUUUACAUUUCCCAAAAUCUAUCCUUAACCCGGUGGUACGAGUAUAAAAUACUCACUAAACAGCCUACUUGUAGACUCUUGUCGGACUUGGUCUUUAUAAUGAUUCUUUAAGCUAUGUGCUCAUACACGGACUUUAGCUUAGUCCUUACAAUGACUUACCAUCCAUGCUAGAAGGCUUAUCCAUACCUAGACCCUAUGUACUCCUAAGACUAGGGUGCAUAACUAAACCCCUCGGGUUAUAAUGUAGGGUUAGGAUGUACUUAGCUUGUUGUUUACGUUUCCCAAAAUCUAUUCUUAACCCUGUGGUACGAGUACGUGAGUCAACUCGCCCUAUGACGGGCUCGCGAGUAAGUCUCAUGUGUAUUAGGUAACUUGUGAAAUAUACGCAGACUAGCAUGAUGAUCGCUUGCACCACAUAAUAACUGGCUACCAGGUGCACCCUGGUAGCAUACCCUCUA
Molecule: long non-coding RNA, 3242 nt
Organism: Cucurbita maxima (winter squash)
Lineage: Eukaryota; Viridiplantae; Streptophyta; Magnoliopsida; Cucurbitales; Cucurbitaceae
Exons: 2
Source: RefSeq, a predicted model, not a curated record